GAAACAAAUCCUUUUCUGGAUCUAACUGAUGAAGUUCAUUUUGACACUCAAUUUGGUAUGAUGGGGAUUGCAUUUCAUCCAAAAUUUUCGCAGAAUGGCCGUUUCUUUGCUUCGUUCAAUUGCGAUAAGCAAACAUGGCCUGGAUGUGCAGGAAGAUGCUCUUGUAACUCGGAUGUGGAUUGUGAUCCAUCAAAACUACCUUCUGAUAGUGGUUCACGGCCAUGUCAAUAUCAAUCAGUAUUCAAUUGUGAUAAGCAAAUAUGGCCUGGUUGUGCGGGAAGAUGCUCUUGUAACUCAGAUGUGAAUUGUGAUCCAUCAAAACUACCUUCUGAUAGUGGUUCUCGGCCAUGCCAAUAUCAAUCCGUUAUAGCAGAAUUUACUGCUAAUGGGACUGCAUCCCAGC
This 403-nucleotide long non-coding RNA is filed under the name Nicotiana benthamiana. RNAcentral's name for it is "long non-coding RNA (NBEN_LNC007070)". Lineage: Eukaryota; Viridiplantae; Streptophyta; Magnoliopsida; Solanales; Solanaceae. The record is from RNAcentral.